GUGAGCUUUUAGGUGUGGAAUACCUCUAUCAGCAAACUGGCAAAGUUCUGCAGGACUACAAAGUGGUCAUUGAAGAGUCUGAGACCACUGAAGUUGAGAUAGAUGAGGGCUUCACAGGACAUGACAGUACCCACACUAGAGGCAGAGCAAGCACUUCUCGCCUCACAAGCAUCUGCAGUUGUUCCUGGUUCCUCAGCAGCUCCAUCUCCUCAGGCUACUGCCUUUGUGCCUCCCAUUCCCCCCGUUAUCCCUCUGUUGCCAGUGACUCAGUCACAUGUCGCCUCAUCAUAAGCUUCUGCAGCUCCUUCACCUGCUGUGACCGCUCUGCUCCCCCAUUCCACACAAACAGUUUCUCCUGCAGAACAGUCUACAUCAGCGCCAUCUACUGAUCCAUCUCCACACUCCUCCUCAUGCCAUGUAAGAAGUUGUUUACCUUAAAGAAAAAAAAAAGAAAAGUUGCAAUAGCUUGGACUGAUGAGUGUGCACUGCUGUCAUCAGUGGUUCUUUUUUCUUGUUUUUGUUUUUGUUAGGAUUGGGUUGGCCCUGAUAACAUUGAAGGGUAUGGCGCAGUGCAGGAUCUGGCUGAUUACUUGGCUGGACUAAGAGACCACCAUCUUGCGCUGACUCAGGAGGAAUGUAGUCAGGUCAUUGCUCUGUGGCAGGAACUGUGGGAGUAUGACAAAAAAAAAAAACUGUCUACCCAGCUCGACACCAGACCAGCCUAAGCAAGGGACGAUUCCGGGCUACGAAGAAGAUUGUGGCUCCAGGUGUGGAGAGCACCAAAAGGUGAAUUAAACUAGGAAAACACAAUAUCUUGGUUAUGUAAAAAAAGUUAAAUAUAAUGUAAGUCACACAUUAUUGUAAUGUUUUUAAAGCAUACAUUAUUUUUAACUACAGUCCUGCACAGUGGCCCGACUGCAACAGAGUGGUUGAGGCCAUCUUUGUCAAGCUUUUUGCCAUCGACCCGAGCACUGUGCGCUGUGAGGGAAAGAAGCUGUCAAGAUACACUGUGGU
RNAcentral lists this long non-coding RNA (1014 nucleotides) under Gouania willdenowi (blunt-snouted clingfish). RNAcentral's name for it is "lncRNA (ENSGWIG00000017936.1)". Lineage: Eukaryota; Metazoa; Chordata; Actinopteri; Blenniiformes; Gobiesocidae. The record is from RNAcentral.